Small nuclear RNA from Zalophus californianus (California sea lion), 125 nucleotides. The record is from Ensembl. NCBI's taxonomy places the organism in Eukaryota, Metazoa, Chordata, Mammalia, Carnivora, Otariidae.
GUGUGUGUGGAAGGAGAGAAGGUCCGUGCUCCCCUUGACAAGGAUGGAAGAGGCCCUCGGGCCUGACAGCAUGCACACGGGUGAGGCAUUGCCACCUACUUUGUGGCAUCUAACCGUCUUUUUUU